AUUGAACGCUGGCGGAAUGCUUUACACAUGCAAGUCGAACGGCAGCACGGGGGCAACCCUGGUGGCGAGUGGCGAACGGGUGAGUAAUACAUCGGAACGUGCCCGGUCGUGGGGGAUAACGUAGCGAAAGUUACGCUAAUACCGCAUACGAUCUGAGGAUGAAAGCGGGGGACCUUCGGGCCUCGCGCGAUCGGAGCGGCCGAUGUCAGAUUAGGUAGUUGGUGGGGUAAAGGCCUACCAGGCCGACGAUCUGUAGCUGGUCUGAGAGGACGACCAGCCACACUGGGACUGAGACACGGCCCAGACUCCUACGGGAGGCAGCAGUGGGGAAUUUUGGACAAUGGGCGCAAGCCUGAUCCAGCCAUUCCGCGUGCAGGACGAAGGCCUUCGGGUUGUAAACUGCUUUUGUAUGGAACGAAAAGGCUCUGGCUAAUACCUGGGGCUCAUGACGGUACCGUAAGAAUAAGCACCGGCUAACUACGUG
This 484-nucleotide ribosomal RNA is filed under the name uncultured bacterium. Its description in RNAcentral is "partial 16S ribosomal RNA". It matches the Rfam family "Bacterial small subunit ribosomal RNA", at positions 30 to 507 of the family's 1533-position model. The record is from RNAcentral.